GCCAAUGUUAAUAAAUUUUUCUUGCAUGAAAACAAUCUAAUUACCCAUGCUUCAGGAAAUCUUCCCAAGGCCUGCUCCUGCAAGCGCACUCUCCUGCUAUCAUCAGGUUGGCGCUUCAGGAGCAGGUUCAUGAUGCGGGCGAGAAUGUUGAUGAUCGUGUGCACCGCAUCGAUGACUGGACUGCAAACUACGUCGAAGCCUGGAGCGCGUUGGAGCUGCUGUAGCUGGCUGCUCCAGUCAGUUGCAUCGCAAGAGAAUGCCCUUCAUAGUCGGCUCCAGUGAAGAGCAGCUUGACGUUAACGAGGUGGUGGUGUCCAUUUGCAUCCGUAAUGUCUAUGUCGUGUACAAGUUCGUCUAUUAAUGGUUGAAGCAUGAAUCUGUACGAUAGAAGAG
Molecule: long non-coding RNA, 393 nt
Organism: Priapulus caudatus
Lineage: Eukaryota; Metazoa; Priapulida; Priapulimorpha; Priapulimorphida; Priapulidae
Exons: 4
Source: RefSeq, a predicted model, not a curated record